This 281-nucleotide ribosomal RNA is filed under the name uncultured cyanobacterium. RNAcentral's name for it is "partial 16S ribosomal RNA". It matches the Rfam family "Bacterial small subunit ribosomal RNA", at positions 425 to 720 of the family's 1533-position model. Lineage: Bacteria; Bacillati; Cyanobacteriota. The record is from RNAcentral.
GUAAACCUCUUUUCUCAGGGAAGAACACAAUGACGGUACCUGAGGAAUAAGCAUCGGCUAACUCCGUGCCAGCAGCCGCGGUAAUACGGAGGAUGCAAGCGUUAUCCGGAAUGAUUGGGCGUAAAGCGUCCGCAGGUGGCNAUGUAAGUCUGCUGUUAAAGAGUCUAGCUCAACUACAUAAARGCAGUGGAAACUACAWAGCUAGAGUGCGKUCGGGGCAGAGGGAAUUCCUGGUGUAGCGGUGAAAUGCGUAGAGAUCAGGAAGAACACCAGUGGCGAAG